Molecule: long non-coding RNA, 1397 nt
Filed under: Homo sapiens (human)
Lineage: Eukaryota; Metazoa; Chordata; Mammalia; Primates; Hominidae
Description: long non-coding RNA NONHSAT160638.1
Source: RNAcentral
CAAAAAAUCAGAGCAUAACCCGUUCUAACCCGAUUCCCUGCUCUGUUAUGUUAUGUCUGCCCUCCUCUGAUGCUUGGGAAAUCGUUUGUUCUGUGGGCUUCUCCUGAGGAGAUGGACGAUUUUCAGAGCUUGCAGAAAGAAUUUGAGACCACCUUCAACCAGAGAAGCCUCUGUGGAAAUGUGCCGUCACUGGCCAGUUGUUCUGUCUGUCUGCUGUGGAACCCAGGCCCGUGAGAAGAGCAGGGGAGGUAUAGUCAUUUCCCUUGUUUUACGGCAGAGGAAACUGAAGAUAAAGCUAUGAAGUGAAGCUGGCUAGUGGCUGCCUCAGGGUUACUACUGAUAUCACUGGACCCCUUCAGAACCAAGCAUGAAUGAAGCAAUCCUUUUUCCCACCUGCAAGUGAGGCUCUGAGGGAUUCUUCAGAAAUCAAGACUUUGACCCACUCCAUAUUAUGAAUGCCUCAGCCUACAAAGAGCUUGCCUAACCCAACAUCAAGGGGUGGACACGUGAUGCUGGACUUCCAGUUAUUGUCUCCCUGUCCCCUGGCUCCAAGUGCAUUGCAUCAUGAAAGGAAACUGUCACUCUUUUCAGCAUUGGCUGUUCUGACUUGGUAUUUUACUGCAUGGUGAUCUGAUGCUGUUGGGGAGACAGGCAUGUGGAGCAUUUUAAGCCACGAAGGAAGGUAUGUGAACUAAAUCCACAACUCACCUCUUAGGAACAACUGCCUGAGGAUAGGGUUCUUUCAGGACAGGGGAACAGAUAGUACUUGUGAAAGAAGUCAGCGGCCCCUCUUGGACUGCCCUCCUCACCUUUCUCAGGAGCCAAGGCUGUGAGGAAUCCAAACAACAAAGUCCCACCUGCAGCCACAGUCCUUCCACUCGAGCAAAAAUGGGUGUUUGAAGAACUUACUCCCAUGAUGCGGCAGUCAAGGAGAUGCACAGUAGAGGAUCAAAAAGCUGACAACUUGGCCUCCCCUGGGUCGCUUCCAGGGGAGCGCGGCUUCACCGCUCGAACCAGCUGGCCAAGUUCCGUAUGCUCUUGGGCCGGUCCCCAGCCCUCUGUACAGCCUGGCACACCCGGCACCAAGGCUCGUCCCAGAAGGAGGUGAUGUGGACAGCGUAGCUCCGGCGCCAGUGGAAGUAGCGGCGAUAGACCGCGGGGUUGCGGUCGAGGAAAAGCAGGUACGAGGCCAGGGAGGAGGCACUUGGGAAGUCGUCCACGUGGAUGAAGGCGCCGCGGGGCACAAAGCGCUCGUAGUUGGCACGGUCUGGGCCCAGCACCACCGGCACCGCCCCAGCGAGCAACGCGUUGCGCCAGAGCUUCUCGGUGAUAUAAUCCAGGUGCUGCGAGUUCUCGAAAGCCAGGUAGAACUUGUAGCGGGCCACUGUGUGCAGGAG